This 451-nucleotide ribosomal RNA is filed under the name uncultured Porphyromonadaceae bacterium. Its description in RNAcentral is "bacterial SSU rRNA". It matches the Rfam family "Bacterial small subunit ribosomal RNA", at positions 341 to 789 of the family's 1533-position model. Lineage: Bacteria; Pseudomonadati; Bacteroidota; Bacteroidia; Bacteroidales; Porphyromonadaceae. The record is from RNAcentral.
ACGGGAGGCAGCAGUGAGGAAUAUUGGUCAAUGGCCGGAAGGCUGAACCAGCCAUGCCGCGUGAAGGAAUAAGGUCCUAUGGAUUGUAAACUUCUUUUGUACGGGAGCAAUAAGGCAUACGUGUAUGUUGAUGAGAGUACCGUACGAAUAAGCAUCGGCUAACUCCGUGCCAGCAGCCGCGGUAAUACGGAGGAUGCAAGCAUUAUCCGGAUUUAUUGGGUUUAAAGGGUGCGUAGGCGGUAAGGUAAGUCAGCGGUGAAAUGUCCUCGCUUAACGAGGGAACUGCCGUUGAUACUGUUUUACUUGAAUUCGGAUGCCGUGGGAGGAAUGUGUAGUGUAGCGGUGAAAUGCAUAGAUAUUACACAGAACACCGAUUGCGAAGGCAUCUCACGAAUCCGACAUUGACGCUGAGGCACGAAAGUGUGGGGAUCAAACAGGAUUAGAUACCGUA